RNAcentral lists this transfer RNA (64 nucleotides) under Ornebius bimaculatus. RNAcentral describes it as "tRNA-Phe". Lineage: Eukaryota; Metazoa; Arthropoda; Insecta; Orthoptera; Mogoplistidae. The record is from RNAcentral.
AUUUAAGUAGCUUAAAAAAAGCAUUUUAUUGAAGCUAAAAAGAUAAAUUUGUAUUUCUUAAAUA